Molecule: RNA transcript, 2793 nt
Organism: Homo sapiens (human)
Lineage: Eukaryota; Metazoa; Chordata; Mammalia; Primates; Hominidae
Gene: TARS1
Gene name: threonyl-tRNA synthetase 1
Exons: 20
Source: RefSeq, marked reviewed
GAUUGCAUCAGCUGGUCCAGCCGAGGCCAAGUCCCGGGCGCUAGCCCACCUCCCACCCGCCUCUUGGCUCCUCUCCUCUAGGCCGUCGCUUUCGGGUUCUCUCAUCGCUUCGUCGUUCGCCAAUGUUUGAGGAGAAGGCCAGCAGUCCUUCAGGGAAGAUGGGAGGCGAGGAGAAGCCGAUUGGUGCUGGUGAAGAGAAGCAAAAGGAAGGAGGCAAAAAGAAGAACAAAGAAGGAUCUGGAGAUGGAGGUCGAGCUGAGAGACUGACACAGAGGGUAUCUGCUGAAUGAAUGUUGAAGAGAUUUUGACACGAAAUUCUAAUUGGGACAUUGCAAGUGGCUAUGAUGAUAAACUGCAGUUAAGAUACAGAGGGUGGUGCAGUUGAAUCCUUGGCCUGAAUAUAUUUACACACGUCUUGAGAUGUAUAAUAUACUAAAAGCAGAACAUGAUUCCAUUCUGGCAGAAAAGGCAGAAAAAGAUAGCAAGCCAAUUAAAGUCACUUUGCCUGAUGGUAAACAGGUUGAUGCGGAAUCUUGGAAAACUACACCAUAUCAAAUUGCCUGUGGAAUUAGUCAAGGCCUGGCCGACAACACCGUUAUUGCUAAAGUAAAUAAUGUUGUGUGGGACCUGGACCGCCCUCUGGAAGAAGAUUGUACCUUGGAGCUUCUCAAGUUUGAGGAUGAGGAAGCUCAGGCAGUGUAUUGGCACUCUAGUGCUCACAUAAUGGGUGAAGCCAUGGAAAGAGUCUAUGGUGGAUGUUUAUGCUACGGUCCGCCAAUAGAAAAUGGAUUCUAUUAUGACAUGUACCUCGAAGAAGGGGGUGUGUCUAGCAAUGAUUUCUCUUCUCUGGAGGCUUUGUGUAAGAAAAUCAUUAAAGAAAAACAAGCUUUUGAAAGACUGGAAGUUAAGAAAGAAACUUUACUGGCAAUGUUUAAGUACAACAAGUUCAAAUGCCGGAUAUUGAAUGAAAAGGUGAAUACUCCAACUACCACAGUCUAUAGAUGUGGCCCUUUGAUAGAUCUCUGCCGGGGUCCUCAUGUUAGACACACGGGCAAAAUUAAGGCUUUAAAAAUACACAAAAAUUCCUCCACGUACUGGGAAGGCAAAGCAGAUAUGGAGACUCUCCAGAGAAUUUAUGGCAUUUCAUUCCCAGAUCCUAAAAUGUUGAAAGAGUGGGAGAAGUUCCAAGAGGAAGCUAAAAACCGAGAUCAUAGGAAAAUUGGCAGGGACCAAGAACUAUAUUUCUUUCAUGAACUCAGCCCUGGAAGUUGCUUUUUUCUGCCAAAAGGAGCCUACAUUUAUAAUGCACUUAUUGAAUUCAUUAGGAGCGAAUAUAGGAAAAGAGGAUUCCAGGAGGUAGUCACCCCAAACAUCUUCAACAGCCGACUCUGGAUGACCUCGGGCCACUGGCAGCACUACAGCGAGAACAUGUUCUCCUUUGAGGUGGAGAAGGAGCUGUUUGCCCUGAAACCCAUGAACUGCCCAGGACACUGCCUUAUGUUUGAUCAUCGGCCAAGGUCCUGGCGAGAACUGCCUCUGCGGCUAGCUGAUUUUGGGGUACUUCAUAGGAACGAGCUGUCUGGAGCACUCACAGGACUCACCCGGGUACGAAGAUUCCAACAGGAUGAUGCUCACAUAUUCUGUGCCAUGGAGCAGAUUGAAGAUGAAAUAAAAGGUUGUUUGGAUUUUCUACGUACGGUAUAUAGCGUAUUUGGAUUUUCUUUUAAACUAAACCUUUCUACUCGCCCGGAAAAAUUCCUUGGAGAUAUCGAAGUAUGGGAUCAAGCUGAGAAACAACUUGAAAACAGUCUGAAUGAAUUUGGUGAAAAGUGGGAGUUAAACUCUGGAGAUGGAGCUUUCUAUGGCCCAAAGAUUGACAUACAGAUUAAAGAUGCGAUUGGGCGGUACCACCAGUGUGCAACCAUCCAGCUGGAUUUCCAGUUGCCCAUCAGAUUUAAUCUUACUUAUGUAAGCCAUGAUGGUGAUGAUAAGAAAAGGCCAGUGAUUGUUCAUCGAGCCAUCUUGGGAUCAGUGGAAAGAAUGAUUGCUAUCCUCACAGAAAACUAUGGGGGCAAAUGGCCCUUUUGGCUGUCCCCUCGCCAGGUAAUGGUAGUUCCAGUGGGACCAACCUGUGAUGAAUAUGCCCAAAAGGUACGACAACAAUUCCACGAUGCCAAAUUCAUGGCAGACAUUGAUCUGGAUCCAGGCUGUACAUUGAAUAAAAAGAUUCGAAAUGCACAGUUAGCACAGUAUAACUUCAUUUUAGUUGUUGGUGAAAAAGAGAAAAUCAGUGGCACUGUUAAUAUCCGCACAAGAGACAAUAAGGUCCACGGGGAACGCACCAUUUCUGAAACUAUCGAGCGGCUACAGCAGCUCAAAGAGUUCCGCAGCAAACAGGCAGAAGAAGAAUUUUAAUGAAAAAAUUACCCAGAUUGGCUCCAUGGAAAAGGAGGAACAGCGUUUCCGUAAAAUUGACUUUGUACUCUGAAAACGUCAAUUUAUAUUGAACUUGGAGGAGUUUGGCAAAGUCUGAAUAGGUCAACCUGCAGGCGUAACUAUUUUUGACCUAGUCAGUUUUUAAACAAUGUGCAUUUGAAGGAGUUAAUUAAAAGAGAGCCAAUAAAAUGAUUUUACUCAUUCAGUAUCUGAGUACUGGAAGUGAAACAUGAGGAAUGCUUUAGUGUAAUGUGGGAGAACUUUUUUGUAAAUUUAAUGCAAUUGAAAAAGUUUUCAAAUUCAAUUAAGAUAACUAGAAUUGGAUUAUGGUGUAAAAAUAAAAAAAAAAUUUAUUCA